This 506-nucleotide ribosomal RNA is filed under the name uncultured bacterium. Its description in RNAcentral is "partial 16S ribosomal RNA". It matches the Rfam family "Bacterial small subunit ribosomal RNA", at positions 30 to 523 of the family's 1533-position model. The record is from RNAcentral.
AUUGAACGCUGGCGGCAGGCCUAACACAUGCAAGUCGAACGGUAGCACAGAGGAGCUUGCUCCUCGGGUGACGAGUGGCGGACGGGUGAGUAAUGUCUGGGGAUCUGCCCGAUAGAGGGGGAUAACCACUGGAAACGGUGGCUAAUUCCGCAUAACGUCGCAAGACCAAAGAGGGGGACCUUCGGGCCUCUCACUAUCGGAUGAACCCAGAUGGGAUUAGCUAGUAGGCGGGGUAACGGCCCACCUAGGCGACGAUCCCUAGCUGGUCUGAGAGGAUGACCAGCCACACUGGAACUGAGACACGGUCCAGACUCCUACGGGAGGCAGCAGUGGGGAAUAUUGCACAAUGGGCGCAAGCCUGAUGCAGCCAUGCCGCGUGUAUGAAGAAGGCCUUCGGGUUGUAAAGUACUUUCAGCGGGGAGGAAGGCGAUAAGGUUAAUAACCUUGUCGAUUGACGUUACCCGCAGAAGAAGCACCGGCUAACUCCGUGCCAGCCGCCGCCGUAA